GAAAUUCCAAGGUUAACAGUGCUGUUUUCAGUUCAUUGAAUGCUCUUAUUUCUUGUAUUUUGAGAAGAUUGGGACUCCAUCCUAAUUGCUACCUCCAGUGAUAAUUCUUCAUGCUUUAUUAAUCUCCAUCUUAAAAGGGGUCAGCUAAGCACCUACAUAUUAAUGAUGGCUCCUGACUGGCUUCACCAUUGAUCCAGCUUCCCGUGGUGGCACUUCCUUAAGCAGUGGUCCUCUGAUCUCCUGUGCCUUCUUCUCAGUGCUUCUGCGUUAGCUGAAAUCCCCAUAGAUUGGCAUCAAGAGGAGAGCACCUCAGCAUCUCAGACCUCCGGAUACUGUAGUCUCGCCCUGGCUGCCUGUCUCUGGGGCCAGAAGUACAUGGCAUGGCUCGACGUUCUCCAAUCCAGAACAAGCAUUCACUCCGGAUGUGCAGUGUGCUGCUGCACAUGCCUGCAGCAGUCUUCACUUCUCCUAAAGUGAGUAUGGGGAGAUUACUUCUCUUUUUAGAAGUCUCUCCUGUCUUCUAGUCAGGGUCUCUCCUGAUAUCCUGUGUGGAGGAAUCCCCUCCCCAGUCUGCCCCACUGUUGUUAGCAGGCUGCUCCUCCCCGCAUCUGUUUCAUUAACCACUGAGCUGUGACCUGGGCUGGAGACAUUCCUGAAGGAGGGGAGAGCUCUCCCCUGUGUCCUGUAUAACCCUAAACCCUCACCUGAGGUUGGUGACAUUUUUCGAACUGACCAACUGGCAUCAGCCAUGGUCUGAUACUGGUUUGUAGUGAGAACUUAG
Alligator mississippiensis (American alligator) is the source of this 781-nucleotide long non-coding RNA. RefSeq lists it as uncharacterized. The transcript is spliced from 3 exons. NCBI's taxonomy places the organism in Eukaryota, Metazoa, Chordata, Crocodylia, Alligatoridae. The record is from RefSeq and is a predicted model, not a curated record.